This is a long non-coding RNA of Lacerta agilis (Sand lizard), 205 nucleotides long. RefSeq lists it as uncharacterized. Lineage: Eukaryota; Metazoa; Chordata; Lepidosauria; Squamata; Lacertidae. The transcript has 3 exons. The record is from RefSeq and is a predicted model, not a curated record.
CCUGUUUUAGAAAGUGGCCAUGCACUGAAUUCCACAGCUGAAGUUUUAUUGGGAGUGAUAAGAAAACAAAAACUUCAAACAACAACCAAGUACAUCUCCAGAACCAAAGAAAUGUUGUACACAAGCAGAGAUGAGGCACUUGCAAAGCCAGAUUGCCUGGGAAAGAGAUGAAGAAAACACAGAAGCCUUCCCAAAUCUAGUGCCC